Molecule: non-coding RNA, 30 nt
Filed under: Mus musculus (house mouse)
Lineage: Eukaryota; Metazoa; Chordata; Mammalia; Rodentia; Muridae
Source: RNAcentral
UCCUAGUGCUUAAGAGUAUCCUUACAGAUG